GAUGAACGCUGGCGGCGUGCCUAAUACAUGCAAGUCGAGCGAACGGACGAGAAGCUUGCUUCUCUGAUGUUAGCGGCGGACGGGUGAGUAACACGUGGAUAACCUACCUAUAAGACUGGGAUAACUUCGGGAAACCGGAGCUAAUACCGGAUAAUAUUUUGAACCGCAUGGUUCAAAAGUGAAAGACGGUCUUGCUGUCACUUAUAGAUGGAUCCGCGCUGCAUUAGCUAGUUGGUAAGGUAACGGCUUACCAAGGCAACGAUGUAUAGCCGACCGGUGAGGGUGAUCGUCCACCCUGGAACUGAAACACGGUCCAGACCCCUACGGUAGGCAGCAGUAGGGAAUCUUCCGCAAUGGGCGAAAGCCUGACGUAGCAACGCCGCGUGAGUGAUGAAGGUCUUCGGAUCGUAAAACUCUGUUAUUAGUGAAGAACAUAUGUGUAAGUAACUGUGCACAUCUUGACGGUACCUAAUCAGAAAGCCACGGCUAACUACGUG
This 497-nucleotide ribosomal RNA is filed under the name uncultured bacterium. Its description in RNAcentral is "partial 16S ribosomal RNA". It matches the Rfam family "Bacterial small subunit ribosomal RNA", at positions 28 to 507 of the family's 1533-position model. The record is from RNAcentral.